This 116-nucleotide ribosomal RNA is filed under the name uncultured bacterium. RNAcentral's name for it is "partial 16S ribosomal RNA". It matches the Rfam family "Bacterial small subunit ribosomal RNA", at positions 1360 to 1482 of the family's 1533-position model. The record is from RNAcentral.
CGGUGAAUACGUUCCCGGGCCUUGUACACACCGCCCGUCAAGCCAUGGAAGUUGGGGGUACCUAAAGUCGAUCACCGCAAGGAAUCGCCCAAAGGUAAAAACCAAUGACUGGGGCU